AAAGAAAAUAACAAUGAUUCCCUUAGUAACGGCGAGUGAAGAGGGAUAAGCUCAAAUUUAAAAUCUGUUAGGUUUUACCUAAUCGAGUUGUAAUUUGAAGAAGCGUUUUCCGCGUCUUUGUUGGCCCAAAUCCUUUGGGAUAAGGUAUCAUGGAGGGUGAGAAUCCCGUACGGCUGAUGUAAUGACGUUUUACGAUACGCUUUCAAAGAGUCGAGUUGUUUGGGAUUGCAGCUCUAAAUGGGAGGUAAAUUUCUCCUAAGGCUAAAUAUUGGCGAGAGACCGAUAGCGAACAAGUACCGUGAGGGAAAGAUGAAAAGAACUUUGAAAAGAGAGUUAAAAAGUACGUGAAAUUGUUGAAAGGGAAACGAUUGAAGUCAGUCGUACCGACGAGAAAUCAACUCAACGAAUGGGUAAUUGCGGGCGUAUGAGAGCUUCACGGUCUCAUUGUUUGUAAAUGCAUGUUCUUUGGGUGUACUUUUUCGUAUGGUAGGUCAACGUCGGUUUCGAUUGUUAUAAAAUGAUCGGAGGAAUGUAGCUUCGAUUUCGAUUGAAGUGUUAUAGCCUUUGGUAGAUGUAUUGAUCGAGACCGAGGAUUGCAACGAAUACCCUUUCGGGCUAUCCGUCUGACCUCUGAAAGUUGCUUAGAUGCCGAAAGCUUGCUUACGGUCAUUUAAGCCAGCGGUCAAAAGGUUAGAACGUGAUUAAAUUCGUUAAGGACGUUG
RNAcentral lists this ribosomal RNA (722 nucleotides) under uncultured Glomus. RNAcentral's name for it is "eukaryotic LSU rRNA". It matches the Rfam family "Eukaryotic large subunit ribosomal RNA", at positions 58 to 628 of the family's 3401-position model. Lineage: Eukaryota; Fungi; Glomeromycota; Glomeromycetes; Glomerales; Glomeraceae. The record is from RNAcentral.